This 428-nucleotide ribosomal RNA is filed under the name uncultured bacterium. RNAcentral describes it as "bacterial SSU rRNA". It matches the Rfam family "Bacterial small subunit ribosomal RNA", at positions 355 to 774 of the family's 1533-position model. The record is from RNAcentral.
UGGGGAAUCUUCCGCAAUGGACGAAAGUCUGACGGAGCAACGCCGCGUGUAUGAUGAAGGUCUUCGGAUUGUAAAGUACUGUCAUUGGGGAAGAACGGUUUUCUUGAAAAGAUUGAGAAGACAUGACGGUACCCAAGGAGGAAGCCCCGGCUAACUACGUGCCAGCAGCCGCGGUAAUACGUAGGGGGCAAGCGUUGUCCGGAAUUAUUGGGCGUAAAGCGCGCGCAGGCGGCUUAUUAAGUCUGAUGUGAAAGCCCACGGCUCAACCGUGGAGGGCCAUUGGAAACUGGUAGGCUUGAGUGCAGGAGAGGAGAGCGGAAUUCCCGGUGUAGCGGUGAAAUGCGUAGAUAUCAGAUAGAACACCAAUGGCGAAGGCAGUCACUUGGUCCAUUACUGACGCUAAAGCACGAAAGCGUGGGUAGCAAACA